This is a long non-coding RNA of Lycium barbarum (goji berry), 762 nucleotides long. RefSeq lists it as uncharacterized. Lineage: Eukaryota; Viridiplantae; Streptophyta; Magnoliopsida; Solanales; Solanaceae. The transcript has 2 exons. The record is from RefSeq and is a predicted model, not a curated record.
UCUCCCCUUAACCAAAAUCUGUGGCCUAACCGCCCCAGCCCAAAACCCCACUGACCCAGCCCAAUCAUCUGUAAAACUCAAUCCCUAGAACUAAACUUCAUACUCUAACAGCCCUAACCAAACGAUCCCGACACUCCUCUUCCACCAAACAAGAACUAACACUCCUCUCCUCUCUCUCUUCCACCUCGCCGCCACCCCCCUUUACCCAUCAGACCAUCGGGUAAAGCCGAUUUUGGCGUCACUGACGCCGCCUCCCGUCAACCCCUGUCCCUUUCUCCCAUUUUCUUCAAGUGACAGAGCUUCGAACAGCUCAUCCAAAGUCGAAUCAGCCCCCAAAUCAAAAAGCACGCGAACAUCUUUGGGAUUCUAGACCGUUCUUCCAACAAUCCAUAGGGUAAAGACUCGGUUUGAGUUUAUUGGAGCAUAAAACCAUGGAGAAUCCAAUAAAUUCGGAGUCCCAACGAAUUUGUAGCUUUCAAAUCCAUAUGAAAAGCCUUGGGAGCAUUUGGAGUUAUGGCAACUCCGGAUUCUGCCCAUAUCAGAGAACAGCCAGUAGCAGAUUUAAUUGCUUGUGUCUAGCCGUCCCCUACUUUCGCGUCUCGAGUUUCCGCUCUUCCUUUAUUCAAAAUUUUAAGCCUUCAUAUUGUUUGAUAACAUGCUAUUUAUAUUAUUUGACUAACACUCUUGUGAAUUUGUAUUUUUUGUAGUUUUGUUUUGAACUCGUAACUUGACUUAAGUAUGUUAGUAAGUUUAGUCAUUAUA